CGCGCCUUUAGUGUAGUGGAUAUCACGUAAGAUUCGGUUCUUGAGACGGGGGUUCGAUUCCCUCGAGCGCGU
RNAcentral lists this transfer RNA (72 nucleotides) under Enterococcus casseliflavus. Its description in RNAcentral is "tRNA-OTHER". It matches the Rfam family "tRNA". From Rfam's summary of the family: Transfer RNA (tRNA) molecules are approximately 80 nucleotides in length. Their secondary structure includes four short double-helical elements and three loops (D, anti-codon, and T loops). Lineage: Bacteria; Bacillati; Bacillota; Bacilli; Lactobacillales; Enterococcaceae. The record is from RNAcentral.